This 253-nucleotide ribosomal RNA is filed under the name uncultured bacterium. Its description in RNAcentral is "partial 16S ribosomal RNA". It matches the Rfam family "Bacterial small subunit ribosomal RNA", at positions 524 to 776 of the family's 1533-position model. The record is from RNAcentral.
UACGUAGGGGGCUAGCGUUGUCCGGAAUCAUUGGGCGUAAAGCGCGUGUAGGCUGUCCGGUAAGUCCGCUGUGAAAGUCGGGGGCUCAACCCUCGAAUGCCGGUGGAUACUGUCGGGCUAGAGUGCGGAAGAGGCGAGUGGAAUUCCUGGUGUAGCGGUGAAAUGCGCAGAUAUCAGGAGGAACACCAAUUGCGAAGGCAGCUCGCUGGGACGUUACUGACGCUGAGACGCGAAAGCGUGGGGAGCAAACAGG